RNAcentral lists this ribosomal RNA (609 nucleotides) under Triticum aestivum (bread wheat). Its description in RNAcentral is "partial small subunit ribosomal RNA". Lineage: Eukaryota; Viridiplantae; Streptophyta; Magnoliopsida; Poales; Poaceae. The record is from RNAcentral.
AUGUGUAUCUCUCGAGAUGUGACUUUUGAAGAGUCUCGUCCCUUCUACCCACGCCCAUCUUCCUCGACUUUUUCAGUGCAGGAUAUCUCUUUCCUCACUUUUCCUGACUCACCUAUCACUCCCGCCGAGACUGUACCUCUCCGUUCCACUUCCUCUCCUUCUCCACAUCUAGUUGAUUUGCAGCCACCAUCAUCCCCGGUCUCCUCGCCUCGCAUGUCACCGGGUUCUCCACCUUCAUCUCCGGUGACUUCCUCCCCGGUCUCCUCUCCCAGCCUGUCACCGGAUUCUACACCUUCAUCUCCGGUGACUUCUUCGUCGCCACCCCCUGAUUCUACCUUGCCGAUUCCCCCUUCUAUUAUUCCAUCUUUUCCUCAGCAUUACACUCGUCGUCCACGACCAGUUGAUGCCUCUGUGGAUGGGUCGUCAUCUUCCUCUCAGCCUACUUAUGGCUUGCGUUCUCGUCCUCGUCCGCCUGUUGAUCGCUUUGGAUUUCCCACCGCUGGUGCUGCUGUUCUUGAGCCGACUUCUUACCGUCAGGCUUUUGUUCAUCCUGAAUGGCAGUUUGCGAUGGCAGAGGAGAUUGCUGCUCUUGAACGCACUGGUACCUAG